This 98-nucleotide signal recognition particle RNA is filed under the name Actinomycetes bacterium. RNAcentral describes it as "Actinobacteria bacterium signal recognition particle sRNA small type". It matches the Rfam family "Bacterial small signal recognition particle RNA". From Rfam's summary of the family: The signal recognition particle (SRP) is a universally conserved ribonucleoprotein involved in the co-translational targeting of proteins to membranes. Archaeal SRP consists of a 7S RNA and homologues of the eukaryotic SRP19 and SRP54 proteins. The record is from RNAcentral. Lineage: Bacteria; Bacillati; Actinomycetota; Actinomycetes.
GGUCGGGCCCCGUGCGGUGAGAGCUUGCGAACCGCGUCAGAUCCGGGAGGAAGCAGCGCUAAGCAAUCCCUCUCAGGCGCGCGGUGCGCCCGGCCCUU